This 468-nucleotide ribosomal RNA is filed under the name uncultured bacterium. RNAcentral's name for it is "partial 16S ribosomal RNA". It matches the Rfam family "Bacterial small subunit ribosomal RNA", at positions 28 to 507 of the family's 1533-position model. The record is from RNAcentral.
GACGAACGCUGGCGGCGUGCUUAACACAUGCAAGUCGAACGGAAAGGCCCUGCUUUUGUGGGGUGCUCGAGUGGCGAACGGGUGAGUAACACGUGAGUAACCUGCCCUUGACUUUGGGAUAACUUCAGGAAACUGGGGCUAAUACCGGAUAGGAGCUCCUGCUGCAUGGUGGGGGUUGGAAAGUUUCGGCGGUUGGGGAUGGACUCGCGGCUUAUCAGCUUGUUGGUGGGGUAGUGGCUUACCAAGGCUUUGACGGGUAGCCGGCCUGAGAGGGUGACCGGGCACAUGGGGACUGAGAUACGGCCCAGACUCCUACGGGAGGCAGCAGUGGGGAAUAGUGCACGAUGGGCGGAAGCCUGAUGCAGCAUCGCCGCGUGCGGGAUGACGGCCUUCGGGUUGUAAACCGCUUUCGCCUGUGACGAAGCGUGAGUGACGGUAAUGGGUAAAGAAGCACCGGCUAACUACGUG